This 253-nucleotide ribosomal RNA is filed under the name uncultured bacterium. RNAcentral describes it as "partial 16S ribosomal RNA". It matches the Rfam family "Bacterial small subunit ribosomal RNA", at positions 524 to 776 of the family's 1533-position model. The record is from RNAcentral.
UACGGAGGGUGCAAGCGUUAAUCGGAAUUACUGGGCGUAAAGCGCACGUAGGUGGGUUGAUAAGUCAGAUGUGAAAGCCCCGGGCUUAACCUGGGAGGGUCAUCUGAUACUGUCAGUCUAGAGUACAGUAGAGGGUAGUGGAAUUUCAGGUGUAGCGGUGAAAUGCGUAGAUAUCUGAAGGAACAUCAGUAGCGAAGGCGGCUACCUGGACUGAUACUGACACUGAGGUGCGAAAGCGUGGGGAGCAAACAGG